RNAcentral lists this ribosomal RNA (386 nucleotides) under cf. Cyrtonotula sp. MNHN BL13. RNAcentral describes it as "partial 16S ribosomal RNA". Lineage: Eukaryota; Metazoa; Arthropoda; Insecta; Blattodea; Blaberidae. The record is from RNAcentral.
CUCUUCUUGUAUUUUUAAUAAGAAGUAUGACCUGCCCAAUGAUUAUAAUUUAAUGGCCGCGGUAUUUUGACCGUGCAAAGGUAGCAUAAUCAUUAGUCUUUUAAUUGGAGGCUGGAAUGAAUGGUUGGACGAGAUAAUAACUAUCUUAAUUUUAUUUGUUGAAUUUAAUUUUUAGGUAAAAAAGCUUAAAUGAUUUAUUGGGACGAGAAGACCCUAUAGAAUUUAUAUACUUAAUCAAUAAUUAUUUAAAGUUUGUAAUUUUAAAUUUAUUAAUUAAAGUAUUUUGUUGGGGUGAUGGGAAGAUAAGUAUAACUCUUUUUAUUUGUUUAAUUAUUUAUUUAUAUUUUAUGUUGAUCCACGUUUAGUGAUUAUAAGACUAAAUUACC